AGUGAACGCUGGCGGUAUGCCUAACACAUGCAAGUCGAACGGCAGCACAGUAAGGGCUUGCUCUUACGGGUGGCGAGUGGCGGACGGGUGAGGAAUACAUCGGAAUCUACUUUUUCGUGGGGGAUAACGUAGGGAAACUUACGCUAAUACCGCAUACGACCUACGGGUGAAAGCAGGGGAUCUUCGGACCUUGCGCGGUUGAAUGAGCCGAUGUCGGAUUAGCUAGUUGGCGGGGUAAAGGCCCACCAAGGCGACGAUCCGUAGCUGGUCUGAGAGGAUGAUCAGCCACACUGGAACUGAGACACGGUCCAGACUCCUACGGGAGGCAGCAGUGGGGAAUAUUGGACAAUGGGCGCAAGCCUGAUCCAGCAAUACCGCGUGGGUGAAGAAGGCCUUCGGGUUGUAAAGCCCUUUUGUUGGGAAAGAAAAGCAGCAGGUUAAUACCCCGCUGUUCUGACGGUACCCAAAGAAUAAGCACCGGCUAACUUCGUG
Molecule: ribosomal RNA, 492 nt
Filed under: uncultured bacterium
Lineage: Bacteria
Description: partial 16S ribosomal RNA
Rfam family: Bacterial small subunit ribosomal RNA
Source: RNAcentral